Acinonyx jubatus (cheetah) is the source of this 8926-nucleotide long non-coding RNA. RefSeq lists it as uncharacterized. The transcript has 6 exons. The record is from RefSeq and is a predicted model, not a curated record. NCBI's taxonomy places the organism in Eukaryota, Metazoa, Chordata, Mammalia, Carnivora, Felidae.
AGAGUGCCCAAGCUGGAAAGAGGGGAGAGAGCAGGAGACACUGAAUCUGAGGCAGGCUUCAGGCUCUGAGCUGUCAGGACACAGCCUGACGCGGGGCUCAAACUGAGGGACUGCAAGAUCAUGACCUGAGUGGAAGUCGGACGCUUAACUGACUAAGUCACCCAAGUGACCCAGGAAUGAUAGUUUAUUGGCAAAGAAGGAGAAAUUAAAGAUAACGUAAAGGAUGUCGACUUUUAAUUGAAAUAUUCUUCACACAUUUGUUGUAUUAGUUUUAGGCAUACAUUGUAGUCAUUCCAUAUGUCUAUAAAUUAUGUUGUACUUAAGCACAAAUGUAACUAUCAUGUGAAAGCAUGCAACAGUAUUAUUACAGGAUUGACUCUAUUCCAUUGGCUGUACCUUGUAUCCCUAGGACUCAUUCAUUCCAUAGCUGGAAGCCGGUCUCUCUCUCUCAAAGUUGUCAAUUCUUUAUCUAACCUAUAUACUUUGGUGGUAAACACAAUUACCUCUUGUUCAGCAUGUGUAAAUUGGCGGCCUAUUUUUCUUUGAACAUUGCUUAAAGCAUGACAAAUGAUGUCAUUACGUUAAUAAAUUCGGUUUAAUUCUUCACUCACAAGAAAGGAGAAGGAAAAGAUUUCUUUGUGUCCCAGGCCCUGUCACUAAGACCCUUCCCAAUGUGGAGAACAGGCUGAGUUGCCCAGAGCACCUUUGGUCCCUCAGCUGAGCGGCCAGGGCCUUCAACAUUGCAGGAAUUCCCAUGGUGGCCAGCAGAGAGAGCUUGAGCACCACAGACCUGGAGGGGCGGGUUCCUCUGCCUGGGCAGUGAUGGCCAGCAGAGGGCGCACCAUCGGCUUUUCUGACCCAGGGCAUCUCAGAGCCCGAAGGGCUUCUGUUGCUUCCAGAGGACUCAGGGCCUCUGCUCCUGUCUGAGUAUAGAGAGCAGAGCUGCGUUUCCAGUGGGUUCUGCCACCUGCCCCAGGGGAGACCUUGGGAGCUUUGCAGCAACUUGGCAUCUCCUGAGUCGCCAGAGAGAAGCUGCCACGUUGUACUGAGUGCUAAGGAGGGGGCGCUGGGUGGCUUCCCUGGGCAAGCUGGUUGCUGAGCUGCACAGGCCCUUGCAUUUUCUGGGCUGUUCCCGUGUUUUAUUCCUCCCCUUCCCGGACAGUAUUUGAACGAGACGUAUUUUACUAAAGGACUCGUGGAUUGCGGGGUCCUACAACAUCACCUCAUCGAUGCAGUUGAUGGUUUGUUCCAGAUUCAGGCUUGUUUCCGGGAAGAAACCCUGACAGAAAUUCAAAAGAACGGGAGCUGCAUUCAGUUAGGACGUGAAUACAUGAAAUGCUUGUCUCAGGACCUCCUAGAAGAAUGAGCUGGGACCCACUUUCCGAGUCCUGCGGGAACCAGAGACUGAGUCUAUGCAAAUCAGAAUCAACCUCCAUCCACGUCCAUCCUUUAUGAGACCUAAGACGUGAUGCAGCUCCCAUGGGCAAUAUCAGUGGUGUCUCUACCAAGGAUGCAGAGAAAGACAAGAUUCAGGCUUGUUUCCGGGAAGAAACCCUGACAGAAAUUCAGAAGAACGGGAGCUGCAUUCCAUUAGGACUUGAAUACACGAAAUGUUCGUCUCAGGACCUUCUAGAAGAAUGAGCUGGGACCCACUUUCCGAGUCCUGCUGGAACCAGAGACCGAGAUAUUGCCCAGGUGUCUGAAGGCCUGCACUAGGGUACCUACCUCCUUUUCGGAUAGACUGUAUUCCCGUAAGUAUUGCAGUCAUUCUACCUUUGGACUUUAUCCUGUGUUGUAUCUUUCAGUCUAUUCACUUAAUUUUGUUGCAGUACUUUAAUGCUGAGGGAUGCAUAAUUGGAUUGAUUUUCACUAAAUGGUAUGAGCUGCAGUUCCAAUCAUGACAGAAAGCACGUGCUUCCUGUGUUAGGUACUCAAGAGUAAGGCAGAUACCCUGGGCACUUGAGCUGAGUAUGUCACUCUUUUUGCCAGCCCUCUUCCCUCCCCUGGGAGACAAGGGUCUCGUUUUGGUCACACAGAAAUGUAGGUGAAGUCAGCAGAGAAGGGUCCCUUCUCUUCUCUUCCGUUUGUCUCUCAAACUCCCUGUCACUACCUUCUGCCUGUCCCUUUCCCUGACUCAAUCCCCCAGGCCCACUGCUCCACUCUAGCCAUGAUCAGGGUGUCCUCCAGCUGCUGGCCUCUGCUCUGGCCAUCGCUCAGUGAGGAAACUACAGGAGGAUUAUGUAGUUCAUGGGUCUGAUCAAGAAAUCUCUGCUCCUCAGAGUCCUCCUACACGCGGUGCUGUCUGUGGAUACCUGGCAUCCUGGGUUAGGGUCUGACCCUCACUCCUCUCUUCAGUCACUGCUGGUCCCUCAUCCUUCUCUACCAUUAGAACUCAGCCAUUUCCUAAGGACAGAUACCUGUCUGACCCCAAGGCACCACGGAGUCAGGGAAUAUUUCCAAAAUAAUUGAGCAUAAGCACCCCAUCAAUGUAGAUAUAGGAAGUUCCCAUCACCCCGGAAAACUCCCUCAGACUCCCCGGCAGAAAGGGUGAUCUUGCUUCUAUCCUCCAUCACCACCAUUUCUGGCACUUUGUUACCUCUGUGUACAGGAACCCCACUGUGUGCACUCAAUGGGGAGUGAGAGUAGAUGGACCUAGAAGCAGACGCUGACACAGAGACAAAAUGAUGAAAGGUAGAUUAGGGGACAGUAGGAAGGACAAAGUGGAGGGGACAGGAUGGGCAGGGAAAGAAUUCAGGUAGAUCUGACACCUUCUUAAAAUGUAUAUAUAUUCACCAUAGUCUGUCACCGUGCACAGUCCUGUUCAAAUUUCAAAAGAGUUGUCCUAUAAGGCAAAGAGAUUUUGGUUUAUUUCCCUCUGAUCUUAUGUUUUCCUACAUGCAUUCUGUCUUCUGUAGUUUAUCUGCGGCUGUGGCCUCAGAUGAACACUUUAGUGUGUGGCUGCAUCUGUGAGAUUAUGUGUAAUAGAAAAUGAUUGUCUUCAGAUCUAGGUCUCUGAAUGUACACAUUCUCAUAAUUAUCUUUUCUUUCAUUGUGUGGCAGGGCCUGAAUUCUAAUAGAAAAAUGAGGGACAUUGUCUUCUUUUUUAAAACAGUGAUUCCCACCCUGGGCUGAGUUGUUAACAGUCUUAGUUUAAUGAACUCCCAUGACCAUCUUUUUUGGAGGAUCAUUGUGUGGAGAUAUCUUAAUUGAAACUGUGAGAAUCGUGAGGGGACACUUCCCAGAGAUUUUGCAGACGCUUUAUGCACUGAAUGUCUUCUUUUUCUCUUGUUCUUAGAAACAAAUAUUACCCCUGUUUUCCCAGAUAACACAGCUGAGGCUCUGUGUAGGUCCCACUGAGAACUGGUAUUAGGGCUGAGACAGCAGGAACACAGGCAAAGCGUCAUAAUAUUGUGAGAGAAGUUUGAGGAGAUGCAAAGCUGUAGUCAGGGUGAUGACAGGGGUCCAGCAGUGGUGGCAUCUGGCCAGCCCUGAAUUGUAGGAUGACUCAGCUGAUCUAGACCCUGUCUCCACUUUUAGUCUCACUGAGGGAUAUGAACUUGGGCAUACAGCAUUUUCAUAAGACCAAGUUAAAUUCCCCAUAUCUCCAGGGCUCUUUUCCCCCCACAAAUAUCCAGAACCUUCAGGAAAAUCCAGGGAGACAAGGAUCUUUUUAGGUGAUUACCUGCGUGCACUUUGGCAACACACAUUUUGGAGAUGAACGCUGCAUUGUGCACUGAGAGCGAUCCCACAUAGCAGCUCCGUAUGGACCUCACACUCCCUGCUUAGGCCGUGGCCAGGAAUGACCUCCAGCUGCAUCUCACUGACCCCAACACCCUCCCCUCUGCACCACCUCAAACUCUGCUUACUGUGCUCAACUUCCCUUUUAUUCCUGUAUGAUUCAAGGCUCCCCUGGUUUUGCACUGGAUCCUUCACUGGUGUUUCCAUUUUGGUGAUCACAUGGUCUGCAUCGUUUAAUGAAUGUCCCUCUUUCACACAGGACACCUGAUGCUCUAAAAGUUAGGGGUGCACCUCAUUCAUUACAGAACCCAAAACAUUGUGUCUCCAUCAUAUGCACCAGUACCGCUGAUACAUCUGCUUUUGUGUAAAAAAUCCUCUUUCAUUUGACAAGAGAAACGUAUAGCUCACUGUAUUACAGGGACAUGACACUGCCCAUUGUAUGUAUGUCCUGAGAAACUUGAGACAUGCUACAGUGUUCUCAGUUUGUAGUUGGAUUGCCAAGACUCACAACCGUCUCUACAUCAUUGCCACAAAGUCAAUCAUGAAGAACAUGAAUAUACUUUACCAGCCACUCAUCCAGUUCAGGUCAUCUUAACAAAUAGAGUAGGUGGAGGAGGGGGAUGUGGCCUCUAGCCCAUGACUGGUGGUGAAGGGUGGUCCAUGGGGUACAGCCUGCAAGGCAAUCCUGGGAAAGGACCAGGACUCUUGCAUACAAAAUAGCCUGUGGAAAAGAGAGGUAUGUUCAUAGGACAGAACAGAGCACCAACACCAGCAAAAAGCAGAAACCCAAAGAAGCAGUGCUCAUAUCCUACUAGUUUCCCCACCACCAGGUUCCAAGAGGGCAGCAUCAGCGCCAAAAUCUCUACCCAUACUUUGGGUUCCACUUACAGCUUUGAGGUGAGGAAUGGAUGUGAUUGGGAUAAACACGUGUCCCCACGUGUCUGGAAAUGUAGAAAUAGCAAGGGCCCUUUUCCUAGAAGAUUUAUAGGCUGAAUACUAAAUUAACAAAGUAGCAUAUUCCAGAUAGGAAGGCAACUAUGUCCAGGGUCACACUCCACCCUUCAUCCCCUCCACCACAGAGGCUGUUUAUUGUGUCUGUGAAGAAUUACAGAAUGAGAAGGAAUGACAAAGCCAGUGUCCACACAUGGAAUCAUAGCCCUCGUGGCUCAAAGUUCUGCCUCUAAGCCCCUGCCUGUGUCCAAACUACUGUCCUGACAAUGGGGUCUCCUCCUCUCUGGAAGUGCUAUCCAUGGGCACAGAGACAUAUGGGGAGAUGGGAAUCCUGAGGGCCUGUAGAGGACCUGGGAAAGCAUGCUCUUAGAGAAACAGGUAGCCUAUACAUGUUAGUUGGGCUCAGCUAAUUUAUUUUACUUCGGAGGUACUUCUCAGCUUAAGUGCAGUACACUUUGCAGGGUAAGUGUGUCCUCUGGAAAAAUGAGCUGAAAUUCUAAAAGACAAAAUUAACACAAAUGCACUUUGAUGUCUGGUGUAAGUUUCCAUGUUUUAGCUGUACCUGUGACACAGGACACGAGAGAACGUGCUCAUGUGAACACAAGUGAAGGACACCGUGGGGACUUGCCACACAGGUAAUUUUGGAUUUUUUCUCUUCACAACUUAAGUUUCAGUGCAUGUUUUCUAUCACAAAUAUGCCACCUCUUAUAGUUCAGAGUGUUUGUGCCCAGGGCACACCUGAAGGGAUUCUGGACAGCAUGUUUACCAAAAUGCUGAUGGGUAUGAAAUUUACUUUGUCUAAGACCAUUCUAAAGGACACAUACAAAAAUAUAAGUUGGAGUGAAGGCAGUUCGCAUUUUCAAAUUGUAAGGAUACCCACAGAUUUUUCUAAGCACGUUAAAACCCUCAAUAGAAGGAAACAGGAGAGGAAGAAACAGCAAGAGCAAUGAUUCCACAUGGAGGAGAUCCACAAAGAAUGAGGCAAGGUAGGAGACUUCCAAGUGGAGUGUGGUGUCAUCCUCCUUGAUUUCUUCCAGGAACACAUUAGAAAAGCCCUAUGGUCCCCACCUUUAGGCACGCUUAGCUGCUCAAGUGACCACAAACAGAUGCCAGCUGGGAAACAGGGAAGCCCGUAGACUCGGCGGUAAAGGUUUUGCAUUUGGGGGAAAAAAAAAACACAACAAAAACAGCAGACAUACCAUACGACACACAAACCAGAGAUAAUGGCAGGAGAGUGUCCUGUACAGAAAGAUGUGGCUGUCCGUAAAGACUUAGAACUGAAAAUGGCCACAGCAUUUACUUUGUGCUUCUUGGCAGUUUUGGCAGAGCCAGUGUCGAUGUCACUCUUGGUUGUGACACCUACUUCUGGACCUGCAAAAAGCCCUAGAAGGGAUGGAGGUUUAUUCUGACUUAAGUAGACUGUUUGAAGGUCAAAAACAAAACAAAAAACCCUCCCCUCAUACUUCUGACAACUUAAACUCUUUGCCCCAGUGAGAUCCCAAAUUACAUGCACAGUGUGUCCCACAUGCCUCCGGUGAUACCCAAGAAGAACUUGAAGAACCAUCCCUUAUAACUUGAUGAAGACUCCUAAAAGCCCUGACUCAGAUGUAUUCAUCACUCAUCAAACAACUAUGGAUGGCUGGGGGCACAACUAGAUGGACAUACGUUACAUUGUGCCCCAUGCCUCACAGAUCCCAGCAAGUGGACUGUGUACAGGGCAUUUCUGCUGAAGUGCUAUGUCUGAUUUUCUGCCUACAGCCCCAUUCCUUUUCCACAAGAGACGCCUGUACCAACCCAUGGUGGGGGAAAGGACAAAGAUGAGAUCCUGAGAAACUUGAGGAAUAUGGUAAUGGCAGCAGACACAUUCCUCUUGCAUCACAAUGGUCUGUGGUACCGCCUCUGCACCUUGGCCCAAGACCUAACAGCAACAAAAUAAGGUUCAUCUCCUAGCCAGAAUCAAGAAAGGAAGACACAGCAGCCACACUGUUCCCACAGAGGUGAGGUCUGGAAGGGAUCACCCAGGCCGGGAGACCUCUGUUUGGAGUGUGCAGUCAUCCUCCUCUCAUUAUUUCCUGAAACUCACGGAAAAACCUUAAGGUACUCAGUCUCUAAGCACUUUUGGCUUCUAAACUUACCACAGAAAGCUGACAGACUAAAAAUUGAGAAGCCUGUGGGCUCCUGGGUUAUGAGUGUGCAUUUGGAAAAGAAAGAACAAACAGACAUAUCACACAACACGCAAAACGAGACAAGGCCGGGAGAGCGUGCUGUACAUAAAGAUGAGGGUUUCCCAAAAGAGUUACAACUGAGAAUGGCCCUGGCAUUUACCUUGUCUGCAUUCUUGGUACAGUCAGAACCACUGUAACCCACAGAGGUUUCAGCAGUUUCUCCAUCUACUAAAGACCCUAGAAGGGACAGAGGUUUAUUCUGCUUUUAGAGGACUGUGCAGAAUGAAAACAAUCCCUCAACUCAUUACUCAAAUAUCUUCAACUUUUCUCUACAGUCAGGUCCCUGGCCAGAGGCAGAGGGUAUCCCAAAUGCCUCAGGUGACCCCCUAGGAUAAGGGGGAGAACUGUCCCCUCACCUUGAUAAAGACCUCACGGUGCCCUAGUUCAUGUUGUUUCAUAAUUAGUCACAUAACUGGACAGGUCAGGCACAACUAGCAAUUUAGAAUUCACCAGUAAAACAGUUUUCUCAGUAUACAUCAUGGGAAAUCACGAUUCCAUUACAGAUCAAGAAUUAAUCUGAGGAUGCUUGGAUUCGGCAUCCGACUCUUAACUUUGGCUCAGGUCACGAUCUCACAGCUUGUGAAUUCAAGCCCAGCGUUGGGUUCCUCACUGAUGGUGUGGCGCCUGCUUGGCAUUCUGUCUAUGCGUCUCUCAAAAUAAAUAAACUUAACAAAAAAGAAUAACAUUGAGAAUACUGGUUUGGUGUAUAUCCUCAAUGAGUCCUCAAGAAGGGUGCAUUUCUUCAGGCUUCAGGCAAAUUAUUCAAUCUCCCAGCUUAUCUACAAGCUGCCUUACACAUGAGAGCAGUUAGUAUAUAAGGAAAGACUAAUUUGAGAAAAGGAAAACUGCGAGAAGUUAGCAGUGAAGCUGCAGAGUUGCACCGAUACCAUCAGAGGACUAAGCUAAGCUUUAUGGAACUUGAAUUGAGGGAUGUAUGGCUACAGUUCCCAAAACAAACAAAAAGAAAGACUGUUAAAACUAGUGAAUAAAUGACCUUCUCCUCAAAUAAACUAAAGUCUUCACAUUGUGUCCGGGUGGGAAGAAGGUUUCCAGGCUCUUCAGACAGGGGGAUGCUAGAAGAGGUGGGAGGGUCACCGUCAGAAGAGGGGCAUGAGCUCCACCAGUCACAGGGACAAGUGCCUCACUGUCUGUGGCACCAGAGGAGAACACCCUUCUGUUACCCCUUCAGACCACCUGCCGUCCUUAGUGCGUGUGAUUCUUUCCAGACCACACGAUGAUCACACACAGGAAUAGGCUGCACAGCAGAAAUUAGACUGCGGCACAUCACAACGUGCUCCUUACCUCUCCUUGGAGGGUUCUUGCAGUGAUUGGUUUCUGCCUCGUGUAUCCCUCAGGCAGCCUCUUUGCUUCCAUCCCUUCCAGUCUUGGAUACAGAAAAAUAAUGGACUUCUAUAAGAGUUGCAACACCACAUCGUCUACUAGACAACAAACAGUGCAGGCGUCAUCCCUGGAAACACCCAUAAAAAGGCAAGUCAAAUGACCACACCUGUAUUUCAAGGUUGCAAAGACGAGGGCCAUGAAAUGGCACUACCACGUUGAUGGGUAUGAUUCAUUGUGCAACACACUGCUUUCCUACAGAUUAUGACAAUUGACACCACCCCCAAGGAAUGUUAGCAUGGACAAAGUUUCCACACAGUCUGGCCACUACUUGAGAUCUGCAAAUGUUUAGAAAUUAAUUGUUUUAUUCUUUCUAAACUUACCUUUUUUAUCUGUUAAUACUCUAUGCAUAUGUUGACUUUAAACAUUACAAAAAGAUUAAAAACCAAAAAAUGAACAGCGGUUUCACGAGCUGCUGGUAAUUACUAGCUGAACUCACUUUUACUUGUUUAUUUCUUCUGUAGCUAUUUUCUUUUUUUUCCUAAUGUUUAUUUAUUUUUGAGACAGAGAGAGAGUGAGCACAUGCAUGAGCAGGGGAGGGACAGAAAGAGAUGUAACAGAACCUGAAACAGGCUCCAGGCUCUGACCUGUCAGCACAGAGCCUGACACAGGGC